AUGGAGCAACCACAUGAGCAACUGUGUAUGAAGUUGUGUUUUAGGGAUCAGCAUCAAUUUAGAGAAGCUUUGUUGAAUUUGCACAUCACCCAAGCCAGGAAUUUCAGGUAUCACAGGAAUUCAGAUCAGAGGAUAAUUGUUGAGUGUACAGAUAAAAAAUGCCAGUUCUUAAUGGUGGCAGCAGUUAUAAAAGGGGAGAAAACAUUUGUAAUUAAGAAGAUGAGACUAGAGCACACUUGCCCUAGUACCACUGAGACCACCAGGGUUAGUGCUAAGUGGCUAGCACAGAAAUAUGAGCAUCUCUUUAGAUCUGAUAUAACUACUGGUAUUUAG
Molecule: ribosomal RNA, 333 nt
Filed under: Triticum aestivum (bread wheat)
Lineage: Eukaryota; Viridiplantae; Streptophyta; Magnoliopsida; Poales; Poaceae
Description: partial small subunit ribosomal RNA
Source: RNAcentral